RNAcentral lists this long non-coding RNA (948 nucleotides) under Mus musculus (house mouse). RNAcentral describes it as "predicted gene 12916". Lineage: Eukaryota; Metazoa; Chordata; Mammalia; Rodentia; Muridae. The record is from RNAcentral.
GUGUGCACUGUGGCCGUGCCUGAUGUGCUGAGGGACUCGUUUAGGAAUGCUGUCAUUUGGCUUGGGGAAGGGCCAGGCCUCUCUCUGCCCAUAGCAUUGAGGACAGAGGCACAGGUCUCCGUCACUGGGCUGACAGCUUCCAUUCUUCCAAAUCUCAUCUUCCGAGCUAGUCUGCCAUGGAUGAAGUGGGCAUGCAUGUGUUUUAUGCUUUGUACUUCUGCCUCCGUCCAUCUACAAUCCUAGCACUGAAACCACACUCCUCUGAACCACUGUGUGCACCGGCGAGGCCUUCUCAUGGAUGGUCGCAGUCAUUCUCAUUUCUGCGCAUGCUUCCUCCAGGCCAGGCUCACAGGUGGGCCUGCCGGGUGAUUCUGGAUCCUGUGAAGUUGACAGCUUACAUUAACCAUCACACGUAGCAUGCAAAAUCUGAUUUCUUAAUGGAAGAUACAGCACAAGAUCUGGGAGAAAUUUCAAUGUUGUGUAAAAGGAACACCGUAGAAGAACGAAGUCCUAUGAGGAGAAUUCUUUGUGAGAAAACCUGAGACUUGUGACCUCGGUUUCUUCAAAACAUGGACUUAUUCUUGGGAUGGUUUUGUGCUCCUCCCAGGUGUAGUGGAUGGAGUGGGUGGACUUCAGAUUACUCAUUAGUGCUUGCAGUUGUUGUUAAGUGUUUAGACAAUCCUUUCUAGUCCUCUAGAGAAAACCAUGGUUUUUACCACAUGGGGCUUGUUCUUGUGAUUUUAUACAGCACGAAACUCAUGAGAACUUUAUUCAUGUGAUUUUUCUUAACCCUCAGAGUAUAAAUUGUCCGAAGCCCUGAAUAGAGAUGAGCAUUGCAUGAGAUUGUAGCCUCCUUGUUUAUCGGCUCUAUUCUCCCACAUGUGAAGGUUAUCACGAUAAUCACAUCCACUCAGGCACCGAAAGACGAGUAUUACAUGCCUUCUGUCC